RNAcentral lists this non-coding RNA (77 nucleotides) under human gut metagenome. RNAcentral describes it as "Cyclic di-GMP-I riboswitch". It matches the Rfam family "c-di-GMP-I riboswitch aptamer", at positions 6 to 83 of the family's 87-position model. Rfam says of the family: GEMM was predicted in a large-scale screen for bacterial structured RNA regulatory elements. Genes associated with GEMM are involved in a diverse array of functions, including chemotaxis regulation, signal transduction, secretion and chitin. The record is from RNAcentral.
CAAAAAAGGCAAAACAGACGAAAGUCUGUGACGCAAAGCUAGAGGGCCUGAAUCUUCAAAGUAUGGCAGCCAGCUGC